RNAcentral lists this ribosomal RNA (1556 nucleotides) under Klebsiella pneumoniae. RNAcentral describes it as "16S ribosomal RNA". It matches the Rfam family "Bacterial small subunit ribosomal RNA". Lineage: Bacteria; Pseudomonadati; Pseudomonadota; Gammaproteobacteria; Enterobacterales; Enterobacteriaceae. The record is from RNAcentral.
AGAGUUUGAUCAUGGCUCAGAUUGAACGCUGGCGGCAGGCCUAACACAUGCAAGUCGAGCGGUAGCACAGAGAGCUUGCUCUCGGGUGACGAGCGGCGGACGGGUGAGUAAUGUCUGGGAAACUGCCUGAUGGAGGGGGAUAACUACUGGAAACGGUGGCUAAUACCGCAUAAUGUCGCAAGACCAAAGUGGGGGACCUUCGGGCCUCAUGCCAUCAGAUGUGCCCAGAUGGGAUUAGCUAGUAGGUGGGGUAACGGCUCACCUAGGCGACGAUCCCUAGCUGGUCUGAGAGGAUGACCAGCCACACUGGAACUGAGACACGGUCCAGACUCCUACGGGAGGCAGCAGUGGGGAAUAUUGCACAAUGGGCGCAAGCCUGAUGCAGCCAUGCCGCGUGUGUGAAGAAGGCCUUCGGGUUGUAAAGCACUUUCAGCGGGGAGGAAGGCGNCGAUUGACGUUACCCGCAGAAGAAGCACCGGCUAACUCCGUGCCAGCAGCCGCGGUAAUACGGAGGGUGCAAGCGUUAAUCGGAAUUACUGGGCGUAAAGCGCACGCAGGCGGUCUGUCAAGUCGGAUGUGAAAUCCCCGGGCUCAACCUGGGAACUGCAUUCGAAACUGGCAGGCUAGAGUCUUGUAGAGGGGGGUAGAAUUCCAGGUGUAGCGGUGAAAUGCGUAGAGAUCUGGAGGAAUACCGGUGGCGAAGGCGGCCCCCUGGACAAAGACUGACGCUCAGGUGCGAAAGCGUGGGGAGCAAACAGGAUUAGAUACCCUGGUAGUCCACGCCGUAAACGAUGUCGAUUUGGAGGUUGUGCCCUUGAGGCGUGGCUUCCGGAGCUAACGCGUUAAAUCGACCGCCUGGGGAGUACGGCCGCAAGGUUAAAACUCAAAUGAAUUGACGGGGGCCCGCACAAGCGGUGGAGCAUGUGGUUUAAUUCGAUGCAACGCGAAGAACCUUACCUGGUCUUGACAUCCACAGAACUUUCCAGAGAUGGAUUGGUGCCUUCGGGAACUGUGAGACAGGUGCUGCAUGGCUGUCGUCAGCUCGUGUUGUGAAAUGUUGGGUUAAGUCCCGCAACGAGCGCAACCCUUAUCCUUUGUUGCCAGCGGUUNNNNNNNNNNNNNNNNNNNNNNNNNNNNNNNNNNNNNNNNNNNNNNNGGCCGGGAACUCAAAGGAGACUGCCAGUGAUAAACUGGAGGAAGGUGGGGAUGACGUCAAGUCAUCAUGGCCCUUACGACCAGGGCUACACACGUGCUACAAUGGCAUAUACAAAGAGAAGCGACCUCGCGAGAGCAAGCGGACCUCAUAAAGUAUGUCGUAGUCCGGAUUGGAGUCUGCAACUCGACUCCAUGAAGUCGGAAUCGCUAGUAAUCGUAGAUCAGAAUGCUACGGUGAAUACGUUCCCGGGCCUUGUACACACCGCCCGUCACACCAUGGGAGUGGGUUGCAAAAGAAGUAGGUAGCUUAACCUUCGGGAGGGCGCUUACCACUUUGUGAUUCAUGACUGGGGUGAAGUCGUAACAAGGUAACCGUAGGGGAACCUGCGGUUGGAUCACCU